This 499-nucleotide ribosomal RNA is filed under the name uncultured bacterium. RNAcentral's name for it is "partial 16S ribosomal RNA". It matches the Rfam family "Bacterial small subunit ribosomal RNA", at positions 28 to 507 of the family's 1533-position model. The record is from RNAcentral.
GAUGAACGCUGGCGGCGUGCCUAAUACAUGCAAGUCGAGCGAACAGACGAGAGUGCUUGCACUCUCUGACGUUAGCGGCGGACGGGUGAGUAACACGUGGGUAACCUACCUAUAAGACUGGGAUAACUUCGGGAAACCGGAGCUAAUACCGGAUAAUAUUUAGCUUCGCAUGAAGCAAUAGUGAAAGACGGUUCUGCUGCCACUUAUAGAUGGACCCGCGGUGUAUUAGCUAGUUGGUGAGGUAACGGCUCACCAAGGCAACGAUACAUAGCCGACCUGAGAGGGUGAUCGGCCACACUGGGACUGAGACACGGCCCAGACUCCUACGGGAGGCAGCAGUAGGGAAUCUUCCGCAAUGGACGAAAGUCUGACGGAGCAAUGCCGCGUGAGUGAAGAAGGUUUUCGGAUCGUAAAACUCUGUUGUAAGGGAAGAACAAGUACGUUAGUAACUGAACGUACCUUGACGGUACCUUACCAGAAAGCCACGGCUAACUACGUG